Non-coding RNA from Gopherus flavomarginatus (Mexican gopher tortoise), 73 nucleotides. Lineage: Eukaryota; Metazoa; Chordata; Testudines; Testudinidae. The record is from the annotation of a RefSeq genome assembly.
UCCAAAGUAGCUCAGUUGGGAGAGCGUUAGACCAAAGCUCUAAAGACCCUUGGUUCAAUCCCGGGGUUUGGCA